UGCAGGGCGAGUAGAGAAAGGCAU
Molecule: non-coding RNA, 24 nt
Filed under: Gallus gallus (chicken)
Lineage: Eukaryota; Metazoa; Chordata; Aves; Galliformes; Phasianidae
Source: miRBase by way of RNAcentral